This 916-nucleotide ribosomal RNA is filed under the name Escherichia coli. Its description in RNAcentral is "partial 23S ribosomal RNA". It matches the Rfam family "Bacterial large subunit ribosomal RNA", at positions 612 to 1532 of the family's 2925-position model. Lineage: Bacteria; Pseudomonadati; Pseudomonadota; Gammaproteobacteria; Enterobacterales; Enterobacteriaceae. The record is from RNAcentral.
AUAAUGGGUCAGCGACUUAUAUUCUGUAGCAAGGUUAACCGAAUAGGGGAGCCGAAGGGAAACCGAGUCUUAACUGGGCGUUAAGUUGCAGGGUAUAGACCCGAAACCCGGUGAUCUAGCCAUGGGCAGGUUGAAGGUUGGGUAACACUAACUGGAGGACCGAACCGACUAAUGUUGAAAAAUUAGCGGAUGACUUGUGGCUGGGGGUGAAAGGCCAAUCAAACCGGGAGAUAGCUGGUUCUCCCCGAAAGCUAUUUAGGUAGCGCCUCGUGAAUUCAUCUCCGGGGGUAGAGCACUGUUUCGGCAAGGGGGUCAUCCCGACUUACCAACCCGAUGCAAACUGCGAAUACCGGAGAAUGUUAUCACGGGAGACACACGGCGGGUGCUAACGUCCGUCGUGAAGAGGGAAACAACCCAGACCGCCAGCUAAGGUCCCAAAGUCAUGGUUAAGUGGGAAACGAUGUGGGAAGGCCCAGACAGCCAGGAUGUUGGCUUAGAAGCAGCCAUCAUUUAAAGAAAGCGUAAUAGCUCACUGGUCGAGUCGGCCUGCGCGGAAGAUGUAACGGGGCUAAACCAUGCACCGAAGCUGCGGCAGCGACGCUUAUGCGUUGUUGGGUAGGGGAGCGUUCUGUAAGCCUGCGAAGGUGUGCUGUGAGGCAUGCUGGAGGUAUCAGAAGUGCGAAUGCUGACAUAAGUAACGAUAAAGCGGGUGAAAAGCCCGCUCGCCGGAAGACCAAGGGUUCCUGUCCAACGUUAAUCGGGGCAGGGUGAGUCGACCCCUAAGGCGAGGCCGAAAGGCGUAGUCGAUGGGAAACAGGUUAAUAUUCCUGUACUUGGUGUUACUGCGAAGGGGGGACGGAGAAGGCUAUGUUGGCCGGGCGACGGUUGUCCCGGUUUAAGCGUGUAGGCUGGUUUU